Molecule: transfer RNA, 35 nt
Filed under: Proasellus grafi
Lineage: Eukaryota; Metazoa; Arthropoda; Malacostraca; Isopoda; Asellidae
Description: transfert RNA-W(TGA)
Source: RNAcentral
AGUUAAUAAAACUAUUGACCUUCAAAGUCAAAAAU